GAGGGUAUAGCUCAAGUGGCAGAGUGCAUGCUUAGCAUGCAUGAGGUCCUGGGUUCAAUCCCCAAUACCUCCU
RNAcentral lists this transfer RNA (73 nucleotides) under Camelus bactrianus (Bactrian camel). It matches the Rfam family "tRNA". From Rfam's summary of the family: Transfer RNA (tRNA) molecules are approximately 80 nucleotides in length. Their secondary structure includes four short double-helical elements and three loops (D, anti-codon, and T loops). Further hydrogen bonds mediate the characteristic L-shaped molecular structure. tRNAs have two regions of fundamental functional importance: the anti-codon, which is responsible for specific mRNA codon recognition, and the 3' end, to which the tRNAs corresponding amino acid is attached (by aminoacyl-tRNA synthetases). tRNAs cope with the degeneracy of the genetic code in two manners: having more than one tRNA (with a specific anti-codon) for a particular amino acid; and 'wobble' base-pairing, i.e. permitting non-standard base-pairing at the 3rd anti-codon position. Lineage: Eukaryota; Metazoa; Chordata; Mammalia; Artiodactyla; Camelidae. RNAcentral also lists the same sequence under 2 other names. The record is from Rfam by way of RNAcentral.